GACGAACGCUGGCGGCGUGCCUAAUACAUGCAAGUAGAACGCUGUUUCGAACGGGUGAGUAACGCGUAGAUAACUGUCCCAUACCGGGGGAGAACUAUUGUAAACGAUAGCUAUAACCCCAUACUGUUAGAUGGACCUGCGUUGGGUUAGGUAGUUGGAGGGGGAAAGGCGCACGAAGGCGACGAUACAUAGCCGACCUGAGAGGGUGAUCGGCCACAUUGGGACUGAGACACGGCCCAGACUCCUACGGGAGGCAGCAGUAGGGAAUCUUCGGAAAUGGACGGAAGUCUGACCGAGCAACGCCGCGUGAGUUAAGAAGGUUUUCGGGUCGUAAAGCUCUGUUGUUAGAGAAGCGGUAACUAAACAGAAAGGGACGGCUAACUACGUGCCAGCAGCCGCGGUAAUAC
RNAcentral lists this ribosomal RNA (407 nucleotides) under uncultured bacterium. RNAcentral's name for it is "partial 16S ribosomal RNA". It matches the Rfam family "Bacterial small subunit ribosomal RNA", at positions 28 to 526 of the family's 1533-position model. The record is from RNAcentral.